This is a non-coding RNA of Zonotrichia albicollis (white-throated sparrow), 663 nucleotides long. NCBI's taxonomy places the organism in Eukaryota, Metazoa, Chordata, Aves, Passeriformes, Passerellidae. The record is from RefSeq and is a predicted model, not a curated record.
CGGUGGUUUCCCGGGAGGUUCCCAAAACUCCAUCCCUAGAGCCAAAGCUCCGGGUGUUGCAAAAAAAGGGUUUUUUCCGGGGUCAGGAGAAAGCUGUAAGAUCCAACACCAGCCUUGGGGGUUGGCAUUUUUGCCUUCCAACAAAAGGGCUCAAAAAGGGGCUGAGCUGCCCGAAAUUGCCCCAUCUGCCCGAAUUUGCCCCGUUCCCCCGCCGUAGCUCGGCAGCAGCCGCCUGCCCCAGUGUGUUCCCCGUCAGGAAGCAGCUGGCUCCCGUCCAGGUGGGACCCUGCCAGCAGUGAUGGAUGCCCGAGGUGCUGCCGUGCCACCCUGCUCCUGGCUAACCAGCACCAGUUCUUCAGUGGCAAGCUUUAUGUCCUUCUCCAGUAGCUAAAGCUGCCAGUUGAAGAACUGUUGAAUGUAGCCACUCUCUUCUCGUCACUGGGACCUUGGAUGCCAGCCAGAGCCGUGCCCUGAGCCGCCAGGAUGAGCCACUCUGCGUUGGAGGGCUGAGGAUGAGUGUGACCAGGAUGAAGAAAGACUCCAGACAGAGCCUUGGCUGGAGGAUUGUAGGCAGCUGUGCCAAAAUGUGUCGUCCCCUCCCUCAGUGGGGUGGCACUGAGCUAGGAGGAGACUGAGAGAAGCAUUAAACAUUAUUUUGCUCAA